This 93-nucleotide transfer RNA is filed under the name Oryctolagus cuniculus (rabbit). It matches the Rfam family "tRNA". Rfam says of the family: Transfer RNA (tRNA) molecules are approximately 80 nucleotides in length. Their secondary structure includes four short double-helical elements and three loops (D, anti-codon, and T loops). Lineage: Eukaryota; Metazoa; Chordata; Mammalia; Lagomorpha; Leporidae. The record is from Rfam by way of RNAcentral.
GGCGCUGUGGUGCAGUGGUUAACACCCUGGCCUAAAGUGCCAGCAUCCCAUAUGGGCUGGGUUAGGGUUAGGGUUCAAGACCCAGCUGCUCCA